RNAcentral lists this microRNA (21 nucleotides) under Brassica rapa (field mustard). RNAcentral's name for it is "bra-miR9557-5p". The record is from miRBase by way of RNAcentral. Lineage: Eukaryota; Viridiplantae; Streptophyta; Magnoliopsida; Brassicales; Brassicaceae.
UUUUGCGUUUCAACUCGGUCC